This 851-nucleotide ribosomal RNA is filed under the name marine metagenome. RNAcentral's name for it is "bacterial SSU rRNA". It matches the Rfam family "Bacterial small subunit ribosomal RNA", at positions 547 to 1402 of the family's 1533-position model. The record is from RNAcentral.
GAUUACUGGGCGUAAAGAGUACGUAGGCGGCUUUGCAAGUCGGGUGUGAAAUCCCUGAGCUUAACUCAGGAACUGCAUUCGAUACUGCAUAGCUAGAGUAUGUUAGAGGAUAGUGGAAUUCCAGGUGUAGCGGUGAAAUGCGUAGAUAUCUGGAGGAACACCAAUGGCGAAGGCAGCUGUCUGGAACAAUACUGACGCUGAGGUACGAAAGCGUGGGGAGCGAACAGGAUUAGAUACCCUGGUAGUCCACGCCGUAAACGAUGAGAACUAGACGUUGGGUAGCAAUACCGGGUGUCGUAGCUAACGCAUUAAGUUCUCCGCCUGGGGAGUACGACCGCAAGGUUGAAACUCAAAGUAAUUGACGGGGGCCCGCACAAGCGGUGGAGCAUGUGGUUUAAUUCGAUGCAACGCGAAGAACCUUACCUACCCUUGACAUCAUCAGAACUUGUUAGAGAUAACUCGGUGCCUUCGGGAACUGAUAGACAGGUGCUGCAUGGCUGUCGUCAGCUCGUGUCGUGAGAUGUUGGGUUAAGUCCCGCAACGAGCGCAACCCUUAUCUUUAGUUGCCAGCGAUUCGGUCGGGAACUCUAAAGAGACUGCCGGUGAUAAACCGGAGGAAGGUGAGGAUGACGUCAAGUCAUCAUGGCCCUUAUGGGUAGGGCUACACACGUGCUACAAUGGACGGUACAGAGGGUCGCCAACCUGCGAAGGGGAGCUAAUCUCAGAAAGCCGUUCUCAGUCCGGAUCGAAGUCUGCAACUCGACUUCGUGAAGUCGGAAUCGCUAGUAAUCGCGAAUCAGCAAUGUCGCGGUGAAUACGUUCCCGGGCCUUGUACACACCGCCCGUCACAC